GGCUCAUUGGUCAAGUGGUCAAGAUGUGGCAUUCUCAGUGCUGAGACAGGGGUUCGACUCCCCUAUGAGCUGC
Molecule: transfer RNA, 73 nt
Rfam family: tRNA
About the family: Transfer RNA (tRNA) molecules are approximately 80 nucleotides in length. Their secondary structure includes four short double-helical elements and three loops (D, anti-codon, and T loops). Further hydrogen bonds mediate the characteristic L-shaped molecular structure. tRNAs have two regions of fundamental functional importance: the anti-codon, which is responsible for specific mRNA codon recognition, and the 3' end, to which the tRNAs corresponding amino acid is attached (by aminoacyl-tRNA synthetases). tRNAs cope with the degeneracy of the genetic code in two manners: having more than one tRNA (with a specific anti-codon) for a particular amino acid; and 'wobble' base-pairing, i.e. permitting non-standard base-pairing at the 3rd anti-codon position.